ACCCCUGGAUCAGCGCUCAGCUCCAGGAUGUCAGAAAAGGAAACAGGAGGAGCCUGUAGAAGCAGCCAUGAUAGAAAGAGGGCUUUACUAGGUUCUGGGAGAGCCAGGCAGAUGGGGCCUGGUAGCAGAGGGGAGAGGUUUAGGGCAUUACUGUUUAAAUCUAAACAAGUGUCUAGAAAGAUAGUGAGUUGUUCUUCUGCCCAUCUGCAACCAGAGGCCAACGCUUACUUGCAAGGAUCAUCCCAUCUCUGGGAUUCUGACGCAGGCAUGGAAAAGAUAAUUAACUACAAGGAGCGGGAUGAGAACUGAGGCUCAGCUCUGCCUUCAGAGCUGGAACCCUGCCCAUGCCACCACAGCGGUAGUGAUGCUGGAGCCACUCACCUGGAACAAACCACUGGGCUCACUGCACGUGUCAGCAGCCCUGUGGACUUGAUAAAGACUGCUUUCACUGAUACCAUCUCUCAGCUUAUUAAGGCCUUAAAAAUAAUAAAAAGAAGACCUUCAAUAAGCAUCUGCUUAGUGAAACCUUACUGGAAUUCUCCAAAAAGCUCCAGAGUAGCUUCAUCUCCCAUCCUACAGCCCAGGAUCCCCUCUUCAAGUCUUUGAAGCCCUCCCAGCCCGCUAAGAAUGAGUCCGGCCCCGCCCAGCAGGUCACAGGCCUGGGCUCGUUAAUAAUUCACAAGUAAACAGGCCCAUCCACAAAGAGCCCUCGUAGAGGGCUGAACAAGUCACAGUUCUUCAGUAUUCCCUGGAGAGGGGCCCUGAGGGAGGACCAGGCCUGCUCCUUGGGCUGGGCCCUCCCUCACCAUGGACUCUGGCCACUACUAGCUGUGUAACCUUGGACAAGUCACUAUCUCACUCUGGCCCUCAGUUUCUCUCUUCCCACAAAAUAUAAAGGAGGGAGCAGACUGGACCAGGAGGUCAAAGGCACCUCCCGCUCUGAUGUUCUCGGCUCUGGGAUCUGAGCUCUUCUACUAAAGUCUGGUCUCUAGGAGCUGCUAAGCUUGGGUCUAAGGAAGGAGCCCCUGGUCAGGCACAAGGGACCAAGAACAAUUUUGACUGAAAAGAAGAUGCAGAAUGCUAAUGAGAGGCUUCUGGCACUGAGUGGCAUCCUGUCAGAAGUUAGAACUUGGGCUACAGAUUCAGGAAGAUCCAGCUGGAUUCCUGGCCCCACCAUGUCCUAGCCCUGUAGUCCCAAGCUGGGAAGGGAAUGGUGCAGGGAGCAGGUUUGCAAGCCAAGCCGUAUACGCCAGCUCUGGCACCCUGAACCAAUGAUUUCACCUCUGAAAUGGGGACAUUGAUGGCAGCAACCUCACUGGGUUGUUGCAAGGAUUAAAUGAGGUAAUAUACAGGCACAAACGAACCUAUCUACAAAACAGAAAUAGAGUCACAGACAAAGAGAAGACUGUGGUUGCCAAGAGGGUGGGGAAGGGAGGGGGAUGGACAGGGAGUUUGGGGUUGGUAGAGGCAAACCAUUAUAUUUAGAAUGGAUAAGCAAGGAGGUCCUACUGUAUAGAACAGGGAGCUAUAUCCUGUCUCAUUCAGUCUCUUGGGAUAGACUAUGAUGGAAGAUACUAUGAGAAAAAUAAUUGUAUGUAUGUAUACACACACACACACAUAUACAUGUGAAUGGAUCACUAUGUUGUACAGCAGAAAUUGACACAACACUGUAAAUCAAAUAUACUCUAAUGGAUUUUUUUUUUAAAAAAUGAGGCAAUAUACAUAAAGCACUUGGAAUGGGGCCAUAUCAUUAAUCUUUGGGUUUAGUGUCCUCGCCCAUAAAGCAGGGAUAACAAGAUUGUCAUGAGCAUUAAAUAAGCAAAUGGACUCAAAAGAGCUUUGGAACAAGGCUGUCCAGAAAAGAAGGGUUUCCCCUCUGAUGUACCAACCCCAGACCUGGCCAGGUCCACAAGGACAGAGCAGCAUCCAUCAGACACCUACGACGUGCCCUCAGGCCAAAUGUGCUGCCUCACUCACUGCUGGUGAAAGUAGAAAGUGGCACCUCUUUCUGAAAGGCAAUUGGAAUUAUGGGCUGAAAGCCUUAGAAAGAUGACCCGGUAGCACCUGUGCAGCAAAUAUCUUUUGUUUGCUGUUGUUGUUUUUAGCAAACCUGUCUUUUUUUUUUUUUUCUUUUUUUUUCCUGCUUUUUAGGGCCGCAUUAGCAGCAUAUGGAGAUUCCCAGGCUAGGGGUUCAAUCAGAGCUAUAGCUGCUGCAGCUACACCAGAUCUGAGCCACAUCUGCAACCGACACCACAGCUCACAGAAAUGCCCGAUCCUUAACCCACUGAGUGAGGCCAGGGAUCGAACCCUCAACCUCACGGUUCUUAGUCAGAUUCGUUUCUGCUGGGCCAUGCCAGGAACUCCAGCAAACAUGUCUUAAGAAAUAAUCACAGACAUAAAGAUUUAUGGUACAAGGAUGUUCAUCACAGUGUUUCCUAUAAUAAAGGUAGAGCUGGAAAUGACCCAAGUGCCCAUCCAUAAGGAAUUAGUUCAAUGAAUUAUAAUGUAUUUAGAGAGUGAACUAACCCACUAACCCCAUUCUGCUAUACCCUUUGUAACACAGAGGGAUGACUGCUAAAUAAAUAAAUAAAUAAAUAAAUAAAUAAAACCCUUGUUCUCACUCUCCUAAUUCCUUUGUUCUGUGUUAUUUUUCCAUAGCACUGUCUGACAUCUUGUAUAUUUUGUUUAUUCAUUUAGUCUGUCACCCCCUAUUAAAUUCUGUGCUCCACAAGGAGGUUUUUUUGUUUGUUUGUUUGUUUGUUUUAUCACUUUGUUCUCAGUGCCCAGCAUAGUGCCUGGUACAUUGUAGGUGCUCAAUAAAUGUUUACCGCAUGAAUGAGCU
Long non-coding RNA from Sus scrofa (pig), 2842 nucleotides. RefSeq lists it as uncharacterized. NCBI's taxonomy places the organism in Eukaryota, Metazoa, Chordata, Mammalia, Artiodactyla, Suidae. The record is from RefSeq and is a predicted model, not a curated record.